This 440-nucleotide ribosomal RNA is filed under the name uncultured bacterium. RNAcentral's name for it is "partial 16S ribosomal RNA". It matches the Rfam family "Bacterial small subunit ribosomal RNA", at positions 338 to 795 of the family's 1533-position model. The record is from RNAcentral.
CCUACGGGCGGCUGCAGUGGGGAAUAUUGCACAAUGGGGGAAACCCUGAUGCAGCGACGCCGCGUGAGCGAUGAAGUAUUUCGGUAUGUAAAGCUCUAUCAGCAGGGAAGAAAAUGACGGUACCUGACUAAGAAGCCCCGGCUAACUACGUGCCAGCAGCCGCGGUAAUACGUAGGGGGCAAGCGUUAUCCGGAUUUACUGGGUGUAAAGGGAGCGUAGACGGCAAGGCAAGUCUGGAGUGAAAGCCCGUGGCUCAACCACGGGACUGCUUUGGAAACUGUGUUGCUGGAGUGCAGGAGGGGUAAGCGGAAUUCCUAGUGUAGCGGUGAAAUGCGUAGAUAUUAGGAGGAACACCGGUGGCGAAGGCGGCUUACUGGACUGUAACUGACGUUGAGGCUCGAAGGCGUGGGGAGCAAACAGGAUUAGAUACCCCUGUAGUC